Molecule: ribosomal RNA, 468 nt
Filed under: uncultured bacterium
Lineage: Bacteria
Description: partial 16S ribosomal RNA
Rfam family: Bacterial small subunit ribosomal RNA
Source: RNAcentral
GACGAACGCUGGCGGCGUGCUUUACACAUGCAAGUCGAACGGAAAGGCCCUGCUUUUGUGGGGUGCUCGAGUGGCGAACGGGUGAGUAACACGUGAGUAACCUGCCCUUGACUUUGGGAUAACUUCAGGAAACUGGGGCUAAUACCGGAUAGGAGCUCCUGCUGCAUGGUGGGGGUUGGAAAGUUUCGGCGGUUGGGGAUGGACUCGCGGCUUAUCAGCUUGUUGGUGGGGUAGUGGCUUACCAAGGCUUUGACGGGUAGCCGGCCUGAGAGGGUGACCGGGGACAUUGGGGCGAAGAGACGGCCCAGACGGCAACGGGAGGCAGCAGGUGGGAACAUUGGGGCAUGGGCGGGAGCCUUGUGCAACAACCCCGCGAGCGGGAAGACGGCCUUUGGGUUGGGAACCGCUUUCGCCUGUGACGAAGCGUGAGUGACGGUAAUGGGUAAAGAAGCACCGGCUAACUACGUG